Molecule: ribosomal RNA, 253 nt
Filed under: uncultured bacterium
Lineage: Bacteria
Description: partial 16S ribosomal RNA
Rfam family: Bacterial small subunit ribosomal RNA
Source: RNAcentral
UACGGAGGGUGCGAGCGUUAAUCGGAAUUACUGGGCGUAAAGCGCACGUAGGCGGUUUGUUAAGUCGGAUGUGAAAUCCCUGGGCUCAACCUGGGUGCUGCAUUCGAUACUGGCAGACUUGAAUACGGUAGAGGGGGGUGGAAUUCCAGGUGUAGCGGUGAAAUGCGUAGAGAUCUGGAGGAACACCAGUGGCGAAGGCGGCCCCCUGGACCGAUAUUGACGCUGAGGUGCGAAAGCGUGGGGAGCAAACAGG